CAGUCGUACGCUUCUUUUUCCCCGGAGCUUGCUCCACCGGAAAAAGAAGAGUGGCGAACGGGUGAGUAACACGUGGGUAACCUGCCCAUCAGAAGGGGAUAACACUUGGAAACAGGUGCUAAUACCGUAUAACAAUCGAAACCGCAUGGUUUUGAUUUGAAAGGCGCUUUCGGGUGUCGCUGAUGGAUGGACCCGCGGUGCAUUAGCUAGUUGGUGAGGUAACGGCUCACCAAGGCCACGAUGCAUAGCCGACCUGAGAGGGUGAUCGGCCACAUUGGGACUGAGACACGGCCCAAACUCCUACGGGAGGCAGCAGUAGGGAAUCUUCGGCAAUGGACGAAAGUCUGACCGAGCAACGCCGCGUGAGUGAAGAAGGUUUUCGGAUCGUAAAACUCUGUUGUUAGAGAAGAACAAGGAUGAGAGUAACUGUUCAUCCCUUGACGGUAUCUAACCAGAAAGCCACGGCUAACUACGUGCCAGCAGCCGCGGUAAUACGUAGGUGGCAAGCGUUGUCCGGAUUUAUUGGGCGUAAAGCGAGCGCAGGCGGUUUCUUAAGUCUGAUGUGAAAGCCCCCGGCUCAACCGGGGAGGGUCAUUGGAAACUGGGAGACUUGAGUGCAGAAGAGGAGAGUGGAAUUCCAUGUGUAGCGGUGAAAUGCGUAGAUAUAUGGAGGAACACCAGUGGCGAAGGCGGCUCUCUGGUCUGUAACUGACGCUGAGGCUCGAAAGCGUGGGGAGCAAACAGGAUUAGAUACCCUGGUAGUCCACGCCGUAAACGAUGAGUGCUAAGUGUUGGAGGGUUUCCGCCCUUCAGUGCUGCAGCUAACGCAUUAAGCACUCCGCCUGGGGAGUACGACCGCAAGGUUGAAACUCAAAGGAAUUGACGGGGGCCCGCACAAGCGGUGGAGCAUGUGGUUUAAUUCGAAGCAACGCGAAGAACCUUACCAGGUCUUGACAUCCUUUGACCACUCUAGAGAUAGAGCUUCCCCUUCGGGGGCAAAGUGACAGGUGGUGCAUGGUUGUCGUCAGCUCGUGUCGUGAGAUGUUGGGUUAAGUCCCGCAACGAGCGCAACCCUUAUUGUUAGUUGCCAUCAUUUAGUUGGGCACUCUAGCAAGACUGCCGGUGACAAACCGGAGGAAGGUGGGGAUGACGUCAAAUCAUCAUGCCCCUUAUGACCUGGGCUACACACGUGCUACAAUGGGAAGUACAACGAGUCGCGAAGUCGCGAGGCUAAGCUAAUCUCUUAAAGCUUCUCUCAGUUCGGAUUGUAGGCUGCAACUCGCCUACAUGAAGCCGGAAUCGCUAGUAAUCGCGGAUCAGCACGCCGCGGUGAAUACGUUCCCGGGCCUUGUACACACCGCCCGUCACACCACGAGAGUUUGUAACACCCGAAGUCGGUGAGGUAACC
RNAcentral lists this ribosomal RNA (1408 nucleotides) under Enterococcus sp. Its description in RNAcentral is "bacterial SSU rRNA". It matches the Rfam family "Bacterial small subunit ribosomal RNA". Lineage: Bacteria; Bacillati; Bacillota; Bacilli; Lactobacillales; Enterococcaceae. The record is from RNAcentral.